Molecule: long non-coding RNA, 4461 nt
Filed under: Triticum aestivum (bread wheat)
Lineage: Eukaryota; Viridiplantae; Streptophyta; Magnoliopsida; Poales; Poaceae
Description: long non-coding RNA (TAES_LNC014087)
Source: RNAcentral
CCCUGUUUUGUGACUCAAGAAUAGCCAUAUUUAGCAGUCUUGCUAAAGUGCAAAUGGGUAUUCACCAACAGCCAUACUAGUGUGUAAUGCUACUGUAGAUUUGUAGUUGAUCAAUGUGUGCUUUAACUUGAUUUUUUGCUCAGGUCCCGGUGAUGUUGUGGUUGUGGUGGGUCCUCCGGUGGCGGUGCUGACAUCCAGGGGUGCUGUGGUGGUGGUGCUGUCCACCGGAUCUCCUGCUGGUGCUGUCGACGUCCGUGUCCGCUGAGCUGCUGCUGCUGGCGUCGACUACGACAUGCUGCCCCUGCCUUCUUCGACUGGUACCUCCUACAGCACCAUGCCCCCACUGGCGUGCCACUGAAGGUCUCUCGUUCUCUCUCGAUUACUCCCUAUUUUCCUUGAACUGCGACUUGUAUGUAUUUUUGUGUAGAAAUGCGGUUUGAUUUUGUUUAUACCUAUCUGUGAUGUAAAGGUUUUAGAUCCAAGUGUUUUCUGGUUGCAUCAUACAUAUUGGUAUUUGGUUUGUGCUGUCCACUAAAAAGAUAGGUAAUUUUCUAAGAAGAUAAAUUGAUUGACUAUGAGGAGAUACCAGAAUUAUAUGCCACUGUACUUGGCUGUUUUUCCAGUUUAUAGUGGUACACAAUAGUCUUGAUAUACAUAUGCACCAUUGUAGAUCAUUCAUCUGCACUGAAACUUAAGCUUUUCUCCACUUUGAGGAUUAAAUAAGUACUGUAGUAAGCAGUGGAGUUGAUGUUUGAUACCGAGGUGAUGAUGAACAUGUGAAUAUGUAGUCUUUGUUGUAUGUGUUUUGCUGGAAUGAUUUCCAGAGCAAAACAAUGCUACAUCCCUUGGUUACUCUUGAUAGGCAUGUCUUGAUUGAUCUGGUUCACUAGACACUGGUCUUGGUUAAUUUGGUUCUAGUAAUUGUUGCAGUUUAGUAAGUCCUUACUUUUUUUUGCUCUACUUGGCUUGAUUAGGUGCUCUAUCAAGUAGAUUGGCUACUGUUUUGGUUUCAAUUAUUUAUUUAUUAGAAUCAUUGCUAGGUUGAACUGAUCAAUUGGUAGCAUAAUAUUGAUGAUUUGCUCAAAUACCAGUCCUUGUAGGUUUUGAGUUAGUCGAUGGUCAUUUUGCUCAAACUUGACUGCAUAUUGAUCAUGUGCCUGAGAGUAGUGAUGACGGACUUUUACGGGGGUUUUACAGGGGUAGUUCCAGUUGGCAAAAUGUGAUUGGAUAAGGAGGAGGGAGGCACCCCACCCCAGCUNNNNNNNNNNNNNNNNNNNNNNNNNNNNNNNNNNNNNNNNNNNNNNNNNNNNNNNNNNNNNNNNNNNNNNNNNNNNNNNNNNNNNNNNNNNNNNNNNNNNNNNNNNNNNNNNNNNNNNNNNNNNNNNNNNNNNNNNNNNNNNNNNNNNNNNNNNNNNNNNNNNNNNNNNNNNNNNNNNNNNNNNNNNNNNNNNNNGUCAAUUUAGAUAGAUGGAAGGAGUUUGUAAACGUCUGUAGCAUUAUCGUGUGCUUGACUAUAUGGCUCUGUCCUGGUUUUGGUUGAGUUUAAUGUGGCUUAACCUUAACCAUUCAUUUAAUGUGGCUUAACCUGGAGAUUUGAGUUCUUCAUAUUUAAUAGUACUAGCUAAAUACCCGUGCGCUGCAUGGAAAAACAAACAAUUGUACUUCAUCAAGGUGCGCGUGAAACGUGAUAUAUGUAGUUUUCAACUAUCAAGAUAAUGGUUGGUGUUCUUUCUCCGAUAACUUCUUUGUCGGCAACCAACACAUGACCUUCUGCCUCUCCAUUUUUUUUUAUUUCUUGCCAUCCUCAUUUUCCACCUAGGCUGUUCGUCUUUUGUUCUCCAACUCUUACCUGUUGCAAAAAAUGAUUGUUGGCGGUUAUAUCUAUGUCUAAGUUCACAUAGUCGUCUUCACCCACAGCCUUCGACUGUUGCGAUCCUAUGGCACACUCGUCCCAGUUUGGGCGCAUGUGCUUUUCAAGAAGUGUGGUAUGAAAUAGCCACCAACAUCAAUUUCACUGGUAUAAAAAUUUCAAUACAGACAAAAAUUCAUAUGGUACUAAAAAUUUAAAGUUGACAAUAUGGCGGUAUCCCUUACAUCAUAGCGUUACUCGGCCGGCUUUUUUUAACAUGGGAACUUACAUGUGUUAAUUCGUUUAUUUUCCCUCCUGAGAUUUAUUUCUUUAGCCAUGGAUUUAUUUCUUAUACAUUUUCCUUUAUUCAUUAUUCAUAAACUAAGAAAGAAAUUUCUUCAAUGCUGCUCAUAAAAAUUUUCUAUGAAGUGGGGAUUGUUAUAAAAAUAUCCUUUUCUCAUUUCUAAGUAAUCUCUAAAAAUGUUCAUUUUUGUGCAAAAUUGCUCUCACUGCCAAGAAUGAUGUUCAUGGUAUUAAUUUAUCUUUUCCACACUAUUCAUCUUUUGGAAAAGAAAAACUGAUAGUAGCGGUUACUAUAUUUAUUCAAAUACUUCUAAAACAUAUUCCCAUUGCCUAAGAGAAAAGUUGUUCACUGUUGGUCACAUAAUUGUUCAUCUGUUGCUAAAAAACAUUCCCAUCCCCAAAACUUUUGUUCACUCUGAUUCUGUGAAUUCAAUUUUAUUUAUGUAGAUACACACUGGAUUUUUAUAAAUGUUGAAAAUCAGUUGUGUAGGUAUAGCUAGAUUUUUUUAGGUACGUGUAUCUAGAUUUUCUUAGAGAAGCUUAGUUAUUUUUUUAGAAUCUGCAGCGUAGCUAAUCACCAUGACAUUCUUUUAGGGCAGACAGCUAGCUUUCUUAAUUUAAAACAGCAGUGUAUCUAGCUUUUUCUUCCAAGGCUAAUCAGCCCUAGCUAAUUGGUAUUGCUGUGGGCUGGUGGUUACUUUUAGACCUUACCAUUUUUGUGUAUUGGAUGUAGAUGGAACGGUCUGAAUAUGUCCGAUGAUAAGUGUUGAGUGUUGAAUGACGACGUACCACCAUCACCAACUCCCAUUUAAUAGUAAAGAUUUUGGUAUUGCUGUAAGGUUGUGGCUGGUUGCACUUCUAUUAGCUGAUUUGGACUUGAAUGAUCAAACUUGGGUAAGCUCUUUCGUGAUUCGACACAAUGCUGGCUAAGAUGAAUUCUGCUCUGUUGCCUUGUAUGAGAUGCAAAUGCUGAUGCUUAUCGAAAGAUGCAUUUCCUUUUUUUUUGUAGUGCUCUAAACCAUCGCCUACUUGUUGCCUGACUUGGGAACUGUGUAUCACCACUGAAACCAACCCUAAACUUGACCUUUAAAUUAAAUGAACAAGUAGUUAAGUGAUUGACAUUGUCUAUGAAAUCUGAAUUCUACGACUUGAUCAUGUGGCCAGGAUAUGGUUCUUGAUGCUGGUUUCUGAUUUACUUGGUGUUUAUACUAGCUGUCACUUCUUAGUCAAUGUUAUCCACAUGUUGCUUUAUUUUUGGUAUGCCCAUUGGGUUUUUGUCUCGGCUGGGCUAUGUGCUGUGCGUCGGCUUUGAGGGCUGAAAUAGAUUGUAAGAUGUGUCUUUCAAAUUAACUUGUGUGCUUGGUUUGGUCGACUUAAUCAACCUCAACCUUAAACCUGGCUUGUAUUCAAUGUUUGCUGAAUCUGGAGCUUGACUUGUUUCUUAAACCAGAUUUCUAUUUAGUGUUGAGCUUCUAUUUACUGGUUGCACUUGUUGGUCUAGUAGAUAAAAGUGAUUAAUCUUUUGUGAUUCAACACAAUAGUGCCUUAUAUAUAGGGAUAAAUUGCUGGUGUUUUGUGUUUGAAAUGCAUGUCCUGCUGCUUAUUUAUCUGGCUAGCUAGUUUGUUUAUGAUGCCACGUUGGCACGUAAACGGCUUCAAAUCCAUCAGCCUGGUAGCGUUUGUGCUCCUGCAAAUUGCUUCAGCAAGUGCUUAUCUAAACCAGUAAUGUUCCUUGUGUUCAUCGCUAGAUAGAGUAUUUCCAGAUUAUUGAGAUUUGAUCCGCUAUGCUACUGUUUCAUUACAGGUUCGUUUUUGGAUAAAUUCGGUGCUUUUGGAGAAUGAGAUGCUUGUGUGGACUAGAAGGAACAAGGGCUUGACAUUCCUCGCUCGCCGACUGUCUAUGCGGCUCAUUGCCUCCGGCUGCUUGGGUGCCCAAGUUCUCGCAGCAGUGCUUUGGUUGCGGCCUAUAUAAUAUUUUGGUCCUGGUAAUGUCAAGUAGCAGUUGGCAUGGUGGUAGCAUCGUUCUUGUGAUGCUCCAGGUUCAGGCGCUGUAAUGGCUUAGUAGUAUUUCUGAUGUGUCUUGUUUGGGGCCCUGUUUGACUUUUGGGGAUGAUGACUGGCUACCUUGGUUCCGGCUUUGCUUUUAUUCUAAUUGUAAAGAAAAGGGUCUCGCGAUGAUGGAUCGAUGUUGUUGUAUCAGUUCAUCAUCGGAUAUUGAUCUGUUCAUAAUAUUAUUGGCAAGCGAGUAUUCAUCUUGUGGCAAUCUAAUACUCCCUCCGUCCCAAAAUAAGUGACUCAACUUUGCACUA